This 434-nucleotide ribosomal RNA is filed under the name uncultured bacterium. RNAcentral's name for it is "partial 16S ribosomal RNA". It matches the Rfam family "Bacterial small subunit ribosomal RNA", at positions 29 to 507 of the family's 1533-position model. The record is from RNAcentral.
AACGAACGCUGGCGGCAUGCCUAACACAUGCAAGUCGAACGAACCUUUCCGGGUUAUGGGGGGUCCGGGGAGGGACACGUGGGAACGUGCCCGUGAGUUCGCUGCCCUUCAGGUUGAGAUGUCUUCAUAAAGCUGGUGCUAUUCCGGGAUAAGAGCUGUUGCUUCUAGAGGGGCGCGGGUUUGUUUCGCUGGUUGGGUGGGGUAAUGGCUCACCAAGGCGACGUGCAGUAGCUGGGCCGAGAGGAUGAUUAGCCACAUUGGGACUGAGACACGGCCCAAACUCCUACGGGAGGCAGCAGUGGGGAAUCUUGCGCAAGGGGCGAAAGCCUGACACAGCCAUGCCGCGUGAAUGAUGAAGGGCUUAGGAUUGUAAAAUUCUUUCACCCGGGACGAUAAUGACGGUACCCGGAGAAGAAGCCCCGGCUAACUACGUG